RNAcentral lists this ribosomal RNA (257 nucleotides) under uncultured bacterium. RNAcentral describes it as "partial 16S ribosomal RNA". It matches the Rfam family "Bacterial small subunit ribosomal RNA", at positions 99 to 354 of the family's 1533-position model. The record is from RNAcentral.
CGGACGGGUGAGUAACGCGUGGGCAACCUGCCUCAUACAGGGGGAUAGCAUCGGGAAACUGGUGGUAAAACCGCAUAAGCGCACGGGAACGCAUGUUUUUGUGUGAAAAGGAGAAAUCUGGUAUGAGAUGGACCCGCGUCUGAUUAGCUAGUUGGAGUGGUAAAAGCACACCAAGGCAACGAUCAGUAGCCGGCCUGAGAGGGUGGACGGCCACAUUGGGACUGAGACACGGCCCAGACUCCUACGGAAGGCAGCAG